Molecule: ribosomal RNA, 243 nt
Filed under: Triticum aestivum (bread wheat)
Lineage: Eukaryota; Viridiplantae; Streptophyta; Magnoliopsida; Poales; Poaceae
Description: partial small subunit ribosomal RNA
Source: RNAcentral
AUGAAGAAUCUGGGCAUCACUGAGGAUGACCUAGAUGAUGUGGUUUUCGAGGAGCAAGAUGUACCAGCUGAAGUAGCAGUGCGGUGGAUGGCCAUCGCGAGAGUCCACACCCCGAAGAACUACAGCCAAUAUUGGUUCUUCCGUAAUAUGAGGGCUGCCUGGGAUCUAGCAUAGGAGGUAAAGAUCCGUCCGCUCGAAGAAAAUAUGUACACUAUGCAAUUCUCGUGCCUCGGCGAUUGGGAG